Molecule: ribosomal RNA, 482 nt
Filed under: uncultured bacterium
Lineage: Bacteria
Description: partial 16S ribosomal RNA
Rfam family: Bacterial small subunit ribosomal RNA
Source: RNAcentral
GAUGAACGCUAGCGGCAGGCCUAAUACAUGCAAGUCGAACGAGAUUAAGAGGCUUGCUUCUUAUGAAAGUGGCGCACGGGUGCGUAACGCGUAUGCAACCUACCUUAAUCAGGGGGAUAGCCCGAAGAAAUUCGGAUUAAGACCGCAUAAAAACACAGGAUAGCAUUAUCCAAUGUUCAAAUAUUUAUAGGAUUAAGAUGGGCAUGCGUGUCAUUAGCUAGUUGGCGGGGUAACGGCCCACCAAGGCGACGAUGACUAGGGGAUCUGAGAGGAUGACCCCCCACACUGGUACUGGGGCACGGACCAGACUCCUACGGGAGGCAGCAGUAAGGAAUAUUAGUCAAUGGAGGGAACUCUGAACCAGCCAUGCCGCGUGCAGGAAGACAGCCCUCUGGGUCGUAAACUGCUUUUAUUCGGGAAUAAACCUUUCUACGUGUAGGAAGCUGAAUGUACCGAAGGAAUAAGGAUCGGCUAACUCCGUG